This 66-nucleotide transfer RNA is filed under the name Elimaea cheni. RNAcentral's name for it is "tRNA-Cys". Lineage: Eukaryota; Metazoa; Arthropoda; Insecta; Orthoptera; Tettigoniidae. The record is from RNAcentral.
GACCUUGUAGUCAAAAAUGAUAUUAGACUGCAAUUCUAAAGGAGUAGAUAAUGUCUACUAAGGUUU